CAGCCGCCGCGGUAAUACGAAGGGUGCAAGCGUUACUCGGAAUUACUGGGCGUAAAGCGUGCGUAGGUGGUGGUUUAAGUCCGUUGUGAAAGCCCUGGGCUCAACCUGGGAAUUACAGUGGAUACUGGGUCACUAGAGUGUGGUAGAGGAUAGUGGAAUUUCCGGUGUAGCAGUGAAAUGCGUAGAGAUCGGAAGGAACAUCUGUGGCGAAGGCGACUAUCUGGGCCAACACUGACACUGAGGCACGAAAGCGUGGGGAGCAAACAGGAUUAGAUACCCCGGUAGUCCCUGUCUCUUAUAC
RNAcentral lists this ribosomal RNA (301 nucleotides) under uncultured bacterium. RNAcentral's name for it is "partial 16S ribosomal RNA". It matches the Rfam family "Bacterial small subunit ribosomal RNA", at positions 509 to 807 of the family's 1533-position model. The record is from RNAcentral.